GAAAGAGUUGAAUACUGGAGAAUAGGUUUAUGUAAAUUUGUGGAAAUAUUUCAAGGCAAAGACGACAAAUGGUUUUCCUUAAUGUACACCUGUGCCUUACAACAAUAUGAGAAACUGCAUUUGUUACAGAAGGAAAAAAACUGUAAUGAACCAUUUAAUUUUAGAAGUUU
Ruditapes philippinarum (Manila clam) is the source of this 170-nucleotide long non-coding RNA. RefSeq lists it as uncharacterized. Lineage: Eukaryota; Metazoa; Mollusca; Bivalvia; Venerida; Veneridae. The record is from RefSeq and is a predicted model, not a curated record. The transcript has 2 exons.